RNAcentral lists this ribosomal RNA (284 nucleotides) under Tetrathylacium macrophyllum. The record is from RNAcentral. Lineage: Eukaryota; Viridiplantae; Streptophyta; Magnoliopsida; Malpighiales; Salicaceae.
CGUAACAAGGGUUCCGUAGGUGAACCUGCGGAAGGAUCAUUGCCGAAACCUGCAUGGCAGAACGACCCGCGGACCCGUGCGAGAAAGACACGCGCCGGGGGGGCGGGGGGCUUCGCCCGGCGCCUGCCCGGCCGAGCCGCGGGGAGGGCAUGGCCCAUCCCCGGCGGGCUCAUCGAACAAACACCGGCGCGAGACGCGCCAAGGAACCGGAGUACGGAGAGAACGAGCCCCGGCCAGCCGGAAACGGCGAGCGGGGCGCGUCUCCUCAUGCGAAAAGCGAAAAA